RNAcentral lists this long non-coding RNA (7086 nucleotides) under Malus domestica (apple). RNAcentral's name for it is "long non-coding RNA (MDOM_LNC013153)". Lineage: Eukaryota; Viridiplantae; Streptophyta; Magnoliopsida; Rosales; Rosaceae. The record is from RNAcentral.
GCAUUCGUAACUAUGAAAAGCAUGAUACUCUUGCCAAGAAUUUACUUAACGUGAUUGUGACUAGCAACCUUUACUACUUGUGAAAAUAAGUUCAUAACGAUUAGGUGAAAUUCACUUAUAUUCUAGCAUCAAAUUCAUGCAUGUAAAUUAAGCGUGCACUCUCAACCAACAUACACAAAUCAGUUUUUAUACGAACGGAUAAGUAAAUUGAAAUCACAACUUAUGAAAUCACAACCGAAGGUAAUCAAUUCAUAUUACAAAAUAUAUUCAUGGCUUUGAAUUAACCUCUAGCCAAAAUAAAAUUAAUUACACAUUAUUACAAAAUAGAAAUAAAAGAGAAGUUUGGAAAGAUUAAACCGAAAAAUGAGGGAGUUUGCUGUCUGUCCGUGCCUCGCGCCACGUGCUUUUUCUGACCUCCCUGUCUCUCGGUCCUCACCUCUCCAGCUGCUUGACAGUCCUCAAGACUGCACAGCAGCCUUCCUCUCUCAAUCCUUCGUUCCCCCAGUCUGCGCCACGUGCUGCCAAGGCAGCACCUUAUUUCUCCUGACUUCUCCACGAGCUGCCCAAGCAGCUCUCCUCCUGACUUCUGGCCUCGGGCUGCGCAAGGCAGCGUCCCUCUUGGUUCAGCUGCCAAAUGGCAGCCUUGCUUUGUACUUCUCUCCGUCCUCCCUCUAGCUCUCUCGCUGACUCCCUUCUCGAGCUGCCCAAAGGGCAGCUCCCCCUUUUCCUUCUAUCUCUCCCCGCGUGCUUCUUUUUGUUUUCUGUUUUUCUAUUCCCUCUUUUCCCGCAUACUCCUGCCUUCCACUCCUCACGUUUCCACCUUGGAUUCUUUCCUUUCUUUGUUCAACUCUUUCUUUCCACCGUUUUCUUUCUUUUUUUUUUUCUACAAAACAAAACCAUCAUGAUGAUGUUUCAAACAUCAUCACGACUUAUCAUUAUUAAAUAUAAUUUUUAAUUUAAUUUAAAAGCUGAUCUACACAGACAGUUUUGACGAAUUUAUUACAUAAAAUUUCACUUGUUCUAUUUUUAUUUUCUUUGCAUAAACAAAUCCUAUAAACACAAAAAUAACGUAAAUAGCUCAAAAAUAUAAGAAACUAACUAAGAAAAGACGAGUGAAUUUGAAGUAAAAAUAUAUAUAAAUAUGAUCCGAUCAAAUACCCCCAUACUUAGCUUUUGCUAGUCCUCGAGCAAAACAAAGAAAACAUGAAAAAGUACUAACAUGAAAAACAUUAGCUUCCCUCUAUGUGACCCUCAUAGAAUUUCAUUCAAGAAAACAAAUCAUCAAGAACCAUAGCUAGCACCAAACAAACUAAUCCAAGUUCAUUUUCCUUAUUCAAAUAUUAGCAGUAAUCUUUGAAUCAUCCUUGAAGUGUAGUGUGUGAGAUAGCCAUGCUAAUGCAAUUUCAAAAUUUUUAUAUUUUUAAAAUCAUCAUAUGCAAACUAGCGACAUUCUCACGGGAUAUGCACUCAAUCACACAUGUGUUUAGUUUUAAUGUGUUUCGCUCAAAGAAUCAAAUGUGAAAUUUCUACCAUAAGCUUGCAUAAAGAUCACUUCUCCACAGUCAUAAUUGCAAAACUUAAAUCAAGAGGACUUUUAUUGGAUGUAAUGAGGCUUAGGGAUAGGGUUAUUGAAACGAAAGAAUAGGACACACAAAUUCCAAGCUACAUUGCAAGCAAUUUUUCUCUUUAGAUUUAUAAGAACUCAAUUCUCCAGCAAUUCUUCUAGCACCUCCAAUCACACCCUUAAACUGAAACUUGAACAACUUUUUAUUUUCUUUGUGUACAAUUUUUCUUUUUCUUUUUCUUUUCUUCUCUUUUUUUUUUUUUUUUUUUUUUUUUUUUUUUUUUUUUUUUUUUUUUAAAAUACAAACAUGAAAUACCCCCACACUUAUUCUUUUUGCCAAACACCUUCAAAGUACUUCACAAACGUUUCUCAUAAGAUAAUUUCGCAUUGCUCGCUUGGAAAGGGUAAGGAAAAAUGUUUCAGGUAUAAGGGUAGACAUAUCUGGUGAUAAGAAAUAAAAGGCUCAAUAUACACGGCUCAAAUUGGCAAUCUAAUGAUAUCAUUUUUCUUUGGGAAACAUGGUUAUUUGGGCCAUGGUGGUAAACCUAAUGCCUCUAUCAUUUCCAAGUUCAUGCAAUCAAUGACAAACAUUUCGAAAGAUCGUUACGCAAGUUCUAGAGAUGUAUCUCACAUAAGUUCAUCACACAUGAAAGAAUAGGAGUGUAUGAAAAAUGCACACACUUUCAAUCGGCUCAAAAACUCACAUAUGAUGUAUAUGGUCACUAAAUUCACAUAUGAAGCUUUAAGUCAUACUUUAGUUUCACAUUAACAAGGCUAUGUGCAUUUGGUUUUUCAAAGAUGGUCAAACAUGUACAAAACUAACAAGAGAAUUAGGAAUUUCACCAAACACAUGUUAACUAAGUUCUUGAUGAUCAUGGUUCAAAUUUUUGAUCCAAUUAUAUCAUUGGGUCGGGAAACUAACAAAAAAUCUAAUUCAAAACAAUAAGGGAAACAAGACAAUAUUUUUGGAUUUUUUAAAUUUUCCGAUUUUUUUUUUUUUUUUUAUAGAGAAAACAAAACUAAAAAAAAUAAAAAAUAAAAAGCAACAACACAGAAACAAAUGAAAUUCUAGAGAUUUCUACCCCCACACUUAAACUUGACAUUGUCCCCAAUGUCAGAAAACACUAUAAUGCAAAAAUAAAAAAUAAAACAAAAUAAAAAAAAAAAAAACAAAAUAAAGCAAUUGGACUGAAAACUUCCCUAAUUUGCAGUAAAAUCAAGCGAUGACCCUCAAGCUAAAAUUCUGCAAUCAACUUCAAGGGUGGAAAUAACCAAAAGUUCCUGCAAAGAAAAGGAAAAAUUCAGUUAAGUACGCAAGAAAAUUAAUUAAAAAAAAUAUUGCAAACGAAAAAUUGAAAAUUACGAUAAAAGAUAAUGAAUAAAACUAAUAAGUAAUCAUUGGUCGUGCUUGUUGACUUUCCACAGCUUUCCUCUUGAACAGGGUGACACUUAGCUUUUUUACUUGCAAGUGAUGAUUUGAUGAUAUUGUACGGCGAAGCUUUGCUCUUUGGUGAUGUUGCAGUUCCUUAUUUGUUCUCCAAGCAGAUGUGGCAGCUUCUCUAGUUCCUCAGUUCGGACUCCUUCCGCUGGGAUGAUUGUGCAAGCUGCAUUCUUCUCUGCUUGUUUCUUCUGCACAACGGGCAGGCACGAGGGAAAGGUGUUGGUCCUUAUUUCUUUCUUCAAUCUUUCCAAGUGCCCACCUCUUGCUUUCUUUCUCCUUGUCCCUAGCUGAAUUGUCUCCACAUGCUUCGAGGUAUCAUUUUCACUUCCCUUACUGUCCCCCAGGCAGAUGUGGUAGACGAAGAGAAAGCAUAAAAUGAUGAAGAUGAGUACUCGAGAGCAAGGCUAGGUAAGCAAUCAGGAAAGGGUUCCAGGCAGUUGGCUCCAGAUUGGAAGAUUGAUACCAAAUGCUGGCUGAUUGCUCUCUUUCUCCUUGUCGGAAAACAAAGACAAGGAGAAGGACAUGGAGAAAGCAUGAUAUGAGAUACUCUUGCUUUCAACCUUUAUGAUAUGAAAUACUUUUGCUUUGAAUGGGUUGUUCGCAGGAGUAUCCCAAGGAAUGAGGAACACAGAGUGACUCGAGAGAAUUCUUUGGGAAUGCAUUUUCGGAGAUGAAGAGGUGUUGAGAGGGUGUGCUGAGAGAGUGUGCUUUUGCUGUGGAAGGCGAAAGUAGAAACUUAUAGGACUUGUCUUCACAACCGGAACUGUUCUCUCACUUAGUGUCGGCAGCCGGUGGAUGGGUGAAGAAUACAAAUUACGCGCUUUCUGACAAAGCUGCCCGUAAUUUCCGCAAAGCAGAUUCCUCAUUGAUAUCUAGAAUCGGCGCUUCGAGCUCUGAGCAUCGUCGAUUGUAGAGGUAGCAUGUGACACGUGCGGAUAAAUCUGGAAAAGAAGAUUUGCCCGUGGGUUGAAGCCCAGCUUUUGAGAAAGCUAGCGUGUCUUUAACUGUUGAAUUUCCCUCUUCGAUUUCUGAAUUGGUGCUUCGACAAACUGCCCGAGAUUUCCGCAAAGCAAUUUGCGUGUGACAAGUGACGACACGUCUGGACAAUUGAUCCUUUGAAAUCCGGGGUUCGGCUCGUGGUUUCUGAGCAAGCCCAGCCUUUAAGAAAUGAAACGCCUCUUUUGAGAAAAGAAUCCGGCUUUUGAGAAAGGAACCCCGACUCUUCGAUUUGCGAGAGGACGCUGCUCUGAGGAGCGCCUCUUCGAUUUCUUCUUUUUAUAGAGGCGUUAAGCUUGUUCCACAACACACUUGAGCUCCCCCUAGUAAACACUCCCAUCUUGCACUUGUUUAAUCUUGAUCAGUCCAACUCUCUUCUUUCUUCACCACCUCUGAAAAAUGUCUGGCCCUUCCGAUCGUCGUUUUGACUUGAACCGUGGUGAAGAGGCAGCUCCGCCUUCACCAGACAACAUAUGGCGGCCAUCCUUCAUAUCCCCUACCGGUCCCCUUACCGUGGGGGAUUCGAUGAUGAAAAAUGACAUGACCGCUGCGGUGGUGGCCCGAAACCUUGUCACUCCCAGAGAUAACAGACUGCUCGCAAGGCGGUCUGAUGAAUUGGCGGUCAAGGAGUCUCUGGCUCUCAGUGUGCAGUGUGCGGGUUCCGUAUCCAACAUGGCCCAACGCCUAUAUGCCCGAACCCGUCACGUUGAAUCCUUGGUGGCUGAAAUACAGAGUCUCAAGCAAGAGAUUAAAGGGCUCAAGCAUGAGAAUAAGGAAUUGCACAAGCUCGCACACAGCUAUGCCACCAGCAUGAAGAGGAAGAUUGACCAGAUGCAGGACACCGAUGGUCAAAUUUUACUUGAUCAUCGGAGGUUUGUGGGUUUGUUCCAACCGCAUCUGCCUUCGUCUUCUGGGGCGGCACCGCGCAGUGAAGCUCCAACUGAUCAACCUCUGCCGCCUCCUCCUUCUGUGGCCCCGCCGACUGCUGAAGCCCCGCCUACUACUGAAGCACCACCCGACCAAUGAAUACUAUUAGUUUACAUCAUUGUAAAAUUUUAAUUUUAAUUUUUUUUUUUUUUUUUUUUUUUUUUUUUUUUUUUUUUUUCAUUAAUUUUAAAUUUUUAUCUUUUUUUUUUUUUUUUCAUUAAUUUUAAAUUUUAUCUUUUUUUUUUUUUUUUUUUUUUUUAUUUUUUUUUAUGUAAAUUAAUGUAAAGAGACUUUGGUUAACCUUCCCCACACUUAAACUAAGUAAAUACAAACUCACAGAAAUCAACCAAAUAACACAACUAACUAAACAAAACAAAAUGAAAGCAGUAAAGAUAAGGGUGUAAAAAUGCAAAUCUGAUUGGGUUAGCGAUUCCAAAGUCUCCCUUCGUUGAAUGCUUGGGUUGCCUCCCAAGAAGCGCUUGAUUUAACGUCUUUAGCCGGACGCAUCUUUCCUUUAAAUUUCCCUCAGCUCCAUUUGUGCCUAAAAUCAAAGAAAGAAAAAUAAAUCAAAUAUCAAAAGUAAAAUACACAAACACCAAUAUAAACAUAAACAAAAACAAAAAUAAAAGGAUUAGCAAAGUUACUAAUCCCCGGCAACGGCGCCAAAAUUUGAUGCGAAAUAUAUAAGCACACAAAUUAAACCCUCUUUUUGACAAUUGUAGUAUAGAUAUAAGUAGGGUAUCGUUCUAGGCCGGGGAUUAGGAGGGCUUGCUAAAACCUCUAAAUUAAUUCAAAAAUAUUAAAUAAGACUCAAGGACACAAAAUUAGGCUAAAAACUCUAAUAACUCGAAACACACUUAAAAUGACUCAAAAUAAUGAAAACAAUUAAAUUAAACACUAGGAACUGAAAUGGACGGAAAUUAAAUUAAAAGACUAACAAUAAAGAAAACUAACUAAAUAAUAUAAUUUAAUAAUGGAUGGGUGUUUGGUUUUGAUGAAAAGUAAAUUAAACUUAAUUAAAUUACAGAAUUGAUAAAAACAUAAAAUUAAGGUAAAAUGAUAAAUGACGGACUAGCUAGAGGGUUCUUCUCCACACAUGACACAUAUGCAACCUAAAUUGAUUUUUCAGUUGUUCUUUCAAUAAAUUGUGAAUCUCAAUACUCCAGAUUAACCGUGAACAGCACUUUUUUAAUCUUCAAGUUUUCCUUAAGUUAUUGAAUUGGACGGGAAAACGCAUACAACAAUUCAAAACAUUCUUCAAAAGUCCCCUACGUGAAAAGCACAAUAGAGAUACAAUCAAAGAUCAUUAAACUUUGUGAAAACUAUAAGCAUUGACGAGGCAUUCGUAACUAUGAAAAGCAUGAUACUCUUGCCAAGAAUUUACUUAACGUGAUUGUGACUAGCAACCUUUACUACUUGUGAAAAUAAGUUCAUAACGAUUAGGUGAAAUUCACUUAUAUUCUAGCAUCAAAUUCAUGCAUGUAAAUUAAGCGUGCACUCUCAACCAACAUACACAAAUCAGUUUUUAUACGAACGGAUAAGUAAAUUGAAAUCACAACUUAUGAAAUCACAACCGAAGGUAAUCAAUUCAUAUUACAAAUAUAUUCAUGGCUUUGAAUUAACCUCUAGCCAAAAUAAGUUUAAUUACACAUUAUUAAAACAUAAAUAAAAGAGAAGUUUGGAAAGAUUAAACCGAAAAAUAAGGGAGUUUGCUGUCUGUCCGUGCCUCGCGCCACGUGCUUUUUCUGACCUCCCUGUCUCUCGGUCCUCACCUCUCCAGCUGCUUGACAGUCCUCAAGACUGCACAGCAGCCUUCCUCUCUCAAUCCUUCGUUCCCCAGUCUGCGCCACGUGCUGCCAAGGCAACACCUUAUUUCUCCUGACUUCUCCACGAGCUGCCCAAGCAGCUCUCCUCCUGACUUCUGGCCUCGGGCUGCGCAAGGCAGCGUCCCUCUUGGUUCAGCUGCCAAAUGGCAGCCUUGCUUUGUACUUCUCUCCGUCCUCCCUCUAGCUCUCGCUGACUCCCUUCUCGAGCUGCCCAAAGGGCAGCUCCCCCUUUUCCUUCUAUCUCUCCCCGCGUGCUUCUUUUUGUUUUCUGUUUUUCUAUUCCCUCUUUUCCCGCAUACUCCUGCCUUCCACUCCUCACGUUUCCACCUUGG